Molecule: ribosomal RNA, 311 nt
Filed under: Salmonella enterica subsp. enterica serovar Enteritidis
Lineage: Bacteria; Pseudomonadati; Pseudomonadota; Gammaproteobacteria; Enterobacterales; Enterobacteriaceae
Description: partial 23S ribosomal RNA
Rfam family: Bacterial large subunit ribosomal RNA
Source: RNAcentral
GGUUUACCUGUGUGACUGCGUACCUUUUGUAUAAUGGGUCAGCGACUUAUAUUCUGUAGCAAGGUUAACCGAAUAGGGGAGCCGGAGGGAAACCGAGUCUUAAUUGGGCGUUAAGUUGCAGGGUAUAGACCCGAAACCCGGUGAUCUAGCCAUGGGCAGGUUGAAGGUUGGGUAACACUAACUGGAGGACCGAACCGACUAAUGUUGAAAAAUUAGCGGAUGACCUGUGGCUGGGGGUGAAAGGCCAAUCAAACCGGGAGAUAGCUGGUUCUCCCCGAAAGCUAUUUAGGUAGCGCCUCGUGAAUUCAUCU